GCCAUAGUUCAGUAUUAGAGCAUUUGCUGGGCAUGCAAGAGAUCCCAGGUUUAAUCCCUGGCAUCUCCA
RNAcentral lists this transfer RNA (69 nucleotides) under Sphaerodactylus townsendi. RNAcentral's name for it is "tRNA-Ala". The record is from RNAcentral. Lineage: Eukaryota; Metazoa; Chordata; Lepidosauria; Squamata; Sphaerodactylidae.